Molecule: ribosomal RNA, 497 nt
Filed under: uncultured bacterium
Lineage: Bacteria
Description: partial 16S ribosomal RNA
Rfam family: Bacterial small subunit ribosomal RNA
Source: RNAcentral
GAUGAACGCUGGCGGCGUGCCUAAUACAUGCAAGUCGAGCGAACAGAUGAGGAGCUUGCUCCUCUGACGUUAGCGGCGGACGGGUGAGUAACACGUGGAUAACCUACCUAUAAGACUGGGAUAACUUCGGGAAACCGGAGCUAAUACCGGAUAAUAUAUUGAACCGCAUGGUUCAAUAGUUAAAGACGGUUUUGCUGUCACUUAUAGAUGGAUCCGCGCCGCAUUAGCUAGUUGGUAAGGUAACGGCUUACCAAGGCAACGAUGCGUAGCCGACCUGAGAGGGUGAACGGCCACACAGGAACUGAGACACGGUCCAGACUCCUACGGGAGGCAGAAGUAGGGAAUCUUCCGAAAUGGGCGAAAGCCUGAAGGAGCAACGCCGCGUGAGUGAUGAAGGUCUUCGGAUCGUAAAACUCUGUUAUUAGGGAAGAACAAAUGUGUAAGUAACUAUGCACGUCUUGACGGUACCUAAUCAGAAAGCCACGGCUAACUACGUG